RNAcentral lists this ribosomal RNA (447 nucleotides) under uncultured organism. Its description in RNAcentral is "partial 16S ribosomal RNA". It matches the Rfam family "Bacterial small subunit ribosomal RNA", at positions 335 to 798 of the family's 1533-position model. The record is from RNAcentral.
ACUCCUGCGGGAGGCAGCAGUGGGGAAUAUUGGACAAUGGGCGCAAGCCUGAUCCAGCCAUGCCGCGUGAGUGAUGAAGGCCCUAGGGUUGUAAAGCUCUUUCACCGGUGAAGAUAAUGACGGUAACCGGAGAAGAAGCCCCGGCUAACUUCGUGCCAGCAGCCGCGGUAAUACGAAGGGGGCUAGCGUUGUUCGGAUUUACUGGGCGUAAAGCGCACGUAGGCGGACUAUCAAGUCAGGGGUGAAAUCCCGGGGCUCAACCCCGGAACUGCCUUUGAUACUGGUAGUCUUGAGUUCGAGAGAGGUGAGUGGAAUUCCGAGUGUAGAGGUGAAAUUCGUAGAUAUUCGGAGGAACACCAGUGGCGAAGGCGGCUCACUGGCUCGAUACUGACGCUGAGGUGCGAAAGCGUGGGGAGCAAACAGGAUUAGAAACCCCAGUAGUCCCAU